Molecule: ribosomal RNA, 254 nt
Filed under: uncultured bacterium
Lineage: Bacteria
Description: partial 16S ribosomal RNA
Rfam family: Bacterial small subunit ribosomal RNA
Source: RNAcentral
UACGGAGGAUCCAAGCGUUUAUCCGGAAUCAUUGGGUUUAAAGGGUCCGUAGGCGGUUUGGUAAGUCAGUGGUGAAAGCCCAUCGCUCAACGGUGGAACGGCCAUUGAUACUGCCAGACUUGAAUUAUUAGGAAGUAACUAGAAUAUGUAGUGUAGCGGUGAAAUGCUUAGAGAUUACAUGGAAUACCAAUUGCGAAGGCAGGUUACUACUAAUGGAUUGACGCUGAUGGACGAAAGCGUGGGUAGCGAACAGG